Molecule: ribosomal RNA, 344 nt
Filed under: uncultured bacterium
Lineage: Bacteria
Description: bacterial SSU rRNA
Rfam family: Bacterial small subunit ribosomal RNA
Source: RNAcentral
ACUCCUACGGGAGGCAGCAGUGGGGAAGUAUUGCACAAUGGGGGAAACCCUGAUGCAGCCAUGCCGCGUGUGUGAAGAAGGCCUUGGGUUGUAAAGCACUUUCAGUAGGGAGGAAGGUAGUGUAGUUAACACCUGCAUUAUUUGUACGUUACCUACAGAAGAAGCACCGGCUAACUCCGUGCCAGCAGCCGCGGUAAGUACGGAGGGUGCGAGCGUUAAUCGGAAUUACGUGGGCGUAAAGCGCAUGCAGGCGGCCUGUUAAGUCAGAUGUGAAAGCCCGGGGUCGUUAACCUCGGAAUUGCAUUUGAAACUGGCAGGCUAGAGUCUUGUAGGAGGGGUUAGAA